GUUUGUCUGCAGGACAGCGUGCUGGCGUUCUGGAGGCACGGCCUCAAGGGGAAGAGCCUGCAUACUAAUGAGAUCACUCAAGAGAUCACUGAUGAGUCAAGGGUGUUUCGAGUGCUGGGGACAAACAGGGAUAUAAUCCUGGAGAGCACCCCGACAGACAACCCCUCAGCCCUGAGUAACCUCUACAUACUGACUGGGCACGAGAGCAGCUACUGAGAGCACACCCUCCACACAGGACAGGAGGGUGCACUGACUCACAGGACAGGACCCCAACCCUGUGAGAGGGGCACUGACUCACAGGACGGGACCCCAACCCUGUGAGAGGGGCACUGACUCACAGGACAGCACCCCAACCCUGUGAGAGGGGCACUGACUCACAGGACAGCACCCCAACCUUGUGAGAGGGGCACUGACUCACAGGACAGGACCCCAACCUGUGAGAGGGGCAUUCUGACUCACCAGCUGACCUGUCCACAGGAGGUGCCUCAGUGUGUCUGAGAACUGUUAAGAACUUCCAGUCAUCGUUCAAAAACCAAGCGAUCGCAGUAAAGAGCUCUGCAUCCAAGUAUGAUGUGUAGAGUAAAGGGCUAUUUUACGAUGCCAUCUACAGUAAUACUCUGAAAUACUGACAACUGUCCUUUAGUAAAACCCUUACACAGGUAUAUACAGGACUUUAUAGUCUACUGUCAACAUGCCUGUCUAACAGCGAGUUAACUAAGUAAGUGAACUAUUCAGUGGUGAAAUUGGGGCUGUAUUUCAUUGCGUGCUUGUGUAAUAUCCCACUGCGUGUGUCUGUAUGUAUGAUUCUCUACUGCUGCUUCUGCUUGCAUCAUUAUUUGCUUACGAGCUAUUCCAGCAACUGCUUCUGAAAAGACUCCUAAGCUGAAUUUCUGAAGCGAGGUGGUUUUAGGAAUGACCACUAGGGACCUGCCCCUGUAAUUACAGCCCCCAGUCAAAUGUAAAAUCUCCUUACAAAGUUAGAAGGGGUCGGAAAGUACAGCCGGACACCACCUAGUGGAUGUUACUCAAACCUCCUCAGAAAGCAGUCAGGAGUCUUUUCAGAAGACAUUUUUUGCUGGAACCGUUAGUAAACCUGUUAAAUUAUGAUCCGAGCAGAAUACAGUCAGGGUGGCGCAGGGGUCCCCGAGGGUAAAGGCACGGUCGUGUGGUGUGCAGGGGCACUCAUACAGUCAGGGGAGCUCAGGGG
Molecule: long non-coding RNA, 1207 nt
Organism: Polyodon spathula (Mississippi paddlefish)
Lineage: Eukaryota; Metazoa; Chordata; Actinopteri; Acipenseriformes; Polyodontidae
Exons: 3
Source: RefSeq, a predicted model, not a curated record